AGCUGCAGUCGAGAUCUUUCGCAUGGGCGAAGCCUGACGAAGCGACGCUGCGUGAGUGAUGAAGGCUUUCGGGUUGUAAAACUCUUUCGCGCAAGAGCAAAGUGGAUUAGUGAAUAACUGAUUCAUGUGAGAGUACUGCGUAAAGAAGCACCGGCUAACUC
Molecule: ribosomal RNA, 161 nt
Filed under: uncultured Chlamydiales bacterium
Lineage: Bacteria; Pseudomonadati; Chlamydiota; Chlamydiia; Chlamydiales
Description: partial 16S ribosomal RNA
Rfam family: Bacterial small subunit ribosomal RNA
Source: RNAcentral